RNAcentral lists this ribosomal RNA (305 nucleotides) under uncultured bacterium. RNAcentral's name for it is "bacterial SSU rRNA". It matches the Rfam family "Bacterial small subunit ribosomal RNA", at positions 335 to 654 of the family's 1533-position model. The record is from RNAcentral.
CUACCUACGGGGGGCAGCAGUGGGGAAUAUUGGACAAUGGGGGGAACCCUGAUCCAGCGACGCCGCGUGAGUGAAGAAGUAUUUCGGUAUGUAAAGCUCUAUCAGCAGGGAAGAAAGAAAUGACGGUACCUGACUAAGAAGCCCCGGCUAACUACGUGCCAGCAGCCGCGGUAAUACGUAGGGGGCAAGCGUUAUCCGGAUUUACUGGGUGUAAAGGGGGCGCAGACGGCGAUGCAAGCCAGGAGUGAAAGCCCGGGGCCCAACCCCGGGACUGCUCUUGGAACUGCGUGGCUAGAGUGCAGGAG